UUCUUUGAUGGAUCUGUGUUUUAAUUGGAGUAAAGAACUCCUGGAACUGAAAAUCUCUUUUUGAUAAUUGCUUUCUAAAUUCUGUUCUUCUAGAGUUCCCUGUGACCCUAAGAAUUAAAGUGAUUUGACCAGAGACACAAGGUGCUUAAUGGAUGUUGGAUGGCUUAUUGUUCAGUCUGGGACAAGGUCAAUCUGGGAGUUCCUUGAAGACAACUUCCCCUGAGAAAAUGAUUCUGCCCUUAAAAAAAUGAUGGAGAAACAUUAAUCACCCGGAUUAAACUUCAAAAUGUGUCAAAACUGUGCAGUUUUCCUCUAGAGAGUUGGUUGUUAAACUUUCUUUAGUCGAACUCCCUUGCCCUUAUGGACCUUUGGGGCCUAACAGGAAAUGAAGUUGAAAACAUCCAGGUUUCAUAGUUUGUGAAAGACUAAGAUCAUUAAAUCUUAUUGAGGAAUACAAAUUCAUUUUGAGUGG
RNAcentral lists this long non-coding RNA (472 nucleotides) under Monodelphis domestica (gray short-tailed opossum). RNAcentral describes it as "lncRNA (ENSMODG00000048165.1)". Lineage: Eukaryota; Metazoa; Chordata; Mammalia; Didelphimorphia; Didelphidae. The record is from RNAcentral.